RNAcentral lists this ribosomal RNA (253 nucleotides) under uncultured bacterium. Its description in RNAcentral is "partial 16S ribosomal RNA". It matches the Rfam family "Bacterial small subunit ribosomal RNA", at positions 524 to 776 of the family's 1533-position model. The record is from RNAcentral.
UACGGGGGGGGCAAGCGUUGUUCGGAAUUACUGGGCGUAAAGGGCUCGUAGGCGGCCAACUAAGUCGGACGUGAAAUCCCUCGGCUUAACCGGGGAACUGCGUCCGAUACUGGAUGGCUCGAGUGUGGGAGAGGGAUGCGGAAUUCCAGGUGUAGCGGUGAAAUGCGUAGAUAUCUGGAGGAACACCGGUGGCGAAGGCGGCAUCCUGGACCACGACUGACGCUGAAUAGCGAAAGCCAGGGGAGCAAGCGGG